UGGGCUCGUCUUGUACCAACUUGAAAGCAUGUCGACAGGGUGGAAUGUGGUCGUUGUAUUGCUGGAAGUAAUUAUCGGGAAGCCUCGCACGUGGAGGGGCAAUUUCGUUUUUAGGACAAUGCUCUGCACGCCUCAAUUCACAGGCCUUUUCUAAUCAUUUUCUUUACAGUAUUUAUUAUUUAAUUUCUUUCUCAAAAUUUCUCUAAAAAUGAAAUUAAACUUUCGAAUUGUUAUUACAGAAUAUUUUAAUAAAACCACUAAUGUUAUUA
Molecule: long non-coding RNA, 269 nt
Filed under: Ananas comosus (pineapple)
Lineage: Eukaryota; Viridiplantae; Streptophyta; Magnoliopsida; Poales; Bromeliaceae
Description: long non-coding RNA (ACOM_LNC042553)
Source: RNAcentral